This 428-nucleotide ribosomal RNA is filed under the name Streptococcus sobrinus. RNAcentral's name for it is "bacterial SSU rRNA". It matches the Rfam family "Bacterial small subunit ribosomal RNA", at positions 28 to 439 of the family's 1533-position model. The record is from RNAcentral. Lineage: Bacteria; Bacillati; Bacillota; Bacilli; Lactobacillales; Streptococcaceae.
GACGAACGCUGGCGGCGUGCCUAAUACAUGCAAGUGGAACGCAUUGGUAACACCGGACUUGCUCCAGUGUUACUAAUGAGUCGCGAACGGGUGAGUAACGCGUAGGUAACCUGCCUGAUAGCGGGGGAUAACUAUUGGAAACGAUAGCUAAUACCGCAUAAGAGGAGUUAACUCAUGUUAACUGUUUAAAAGAAGCAACGGCUUCACUAUCAGAUGGACCUGCGUUGUAUUAGCUAGUAGGUAGGGUAACGGCCUACCUAGGCAACGAUACAUAGCCGACCUGAGAGGGUGAACGGCCACACUGGGACUGAGACACGGCCCAGACUCCUACGGGAGGCAGCAGUAGGGAAUCUUCGGCAAUGGACGCAAGUCUGACCGAGCAACGCCGCGUGAGUGAAGACGGUUUUCGGAUCGUAAAGCUCUGUUGU